RNAcentral lists this microRNA (25 nucleotides) under Canis lupus familiaris (dog). Its description in RNAcentral is "cfa-miR-8825". The record is from miRBase by way of RNAcentral. Lineage: Eukaryota; Metazoa; Chordata; Mammalia; Carnivora; Canidae.
UUGCUAAUGGAUAGCCAGAAAGGGC